GACGUAGGAUGCAAGCGUUGUCCGGAUUUAUUGGGCGUAAAGAGUUCGUAGGUGGUUUGUUAAGUCUGAUGUUAAAGACUGAGGCUCAACCUCGGGAGUGCAUUGGAUACUGGCAGACUAGAGUAUGGUAGAGGCAAGCGGAAUUCCCAGUGUAGCGGUGAAAUGCGUAGAUAUUGGGAAGAACACCGGUGGCGUAGGCGGCUUGCUGGGCCAUAACUGACACUGAGGAACGAAAGCCAGGGGAGCGAAUGGGAUUAGAUACCCCAGUAGUCCUGGCUGUAAACGAUGGAUACUAGGCGUAUCGGGUAUCGACCCCUGAUGUGCCGCAGCUAACGCGAUAAGUAUCCCGCCUGAGUAGUACGGCCGCAAGGUUGAA
Molecule: ribosomal RNA, 376 nt
Filed under: uncultured bacterium
Lineage: Bacteria
Description: bacterial SSU rRNA
Rfam family: Bacterial small subunit ribosomal RNA
Source: RNAcentral